Molecule: unclassified non-coding RNA, 395 nt
Filed under: soil metagenome
Description: partial contains 5.8S ribosomal RNA, internal transcribed spacer 2, and large subunit ribosomal RNA
Rfam family: 5.8S ribosomal RNA (bases 1-122)
Source: RNAcentral
GAUGAAGAACGUAGCGAAAUGCGAUACUUGGUGUGAAUUGCAGAAUCCCGUGAACCAUCGAGUCUUUGAACGCAAGUUGCGCCCGAAGCCAUCAGGUUGAGGGCACGUCUGCCUGGGCGUCACAUAUCGUUGCCCAAUGCCUAUUGCAGUGCAAUAGGAAUUUCUAGGGCGAAUGAUGGCUUCCCGUGAGCGUUGUUGCCUCGCGGUUGGUUGAAAAUCGAGUCCUUGGUAGGGUGUUCCAUGGUAGAUGGUGGUCGAGUUAGAACGAUACCGAUCAUGUGCAUGCUCCCCAAAAUAUGGCCUCUAUGACCCACACGCGUCGUUUGACGCUCAUGACGAGACCUCAGGUCAGGCGGGGCUACCCGCUGAAUUUAAGCAUAUCAAUAAGCGGAGGA